Molecule: ribosomal RNA, 287 nt
Filed under: Fusarium equiseti
Lineage: Eukaryota; Fungi; Ascomycota; Sordariomycetes; Hypocreales; Nectriaceae
Description: partial large subunit ribosomal RNA
Rfam family: Eukaryotic large subunit ribosomal RNA
Source: RNAcentral
GACCUCGGAUCAGGUAGGAAUACCCGCUGAACUUAAGCAUAUCAAUAAGCGGAGGAAAAGAAACCAACAGGGAUUGCCCUAGUAACGGCGAGUGAAGCGGCAACAGCUCAAAUUUGAAAUCUGGCUCUCGGGCCCGAGUUGUAAUUUGUAGAGGAUGCUUUUGAUGCGGUGCCUUCCGAGUUCCCUGGAAACGGGACGCCAUAGAGGGUGAAAGCCCCGUCUGGUUGGAUGCCAAAUCUCUGUAAAGCUCCUUCGACAAGUCGAGUAGUUUGGGGAAUGCUGCUCUA